Molecule: long non-coding RNA, 377 nt
Organism: Lacerta agilis (Sand lizard)
Lineage: Eukaryota; Metazoa; Chordata; Lepidosauria; Squamata; Lacertidae
Exons: 3
Source: RefSeq, a predicted model, not a curated record
ACUGACAUGGGUGUUUUCCAUAUGCAGGCUUUGUAAAGAAUCCACAGCUGGGGCAAAGGAAUAAAAGAAUUGAACCCACCUCCAAGGUGAAUAGCUCCCUCUUGUGAAAGCUGUUAGAAGCACACUGGAAAAAUAUGGUUGGUCUAUUCAGAGCUGCAAAACCUUGUGCAGUGGCACAAAUGCAGCUGAAAGGAAAUGGAUGGAACAAGAAGUGACAACAAAGAAAUAAAAAGCAGGUGACCUAGAAGAUUCUCGCAGAGGUAAGGUACUGGAAGUUGUGGCGAAGAGUUCAGGGCAUGGCUAAAAUAAGUUUGAAUCUCAUGCUAGGGCAGGCUUCCCCAAACUUGGCCCUCCAGGUGUUUUGGGACUACAACUCC